AUUCUAAUAAGGUAUAUCUUGUAAACUAAAUAGAAAUCUCCCAAAGGAAAUGGAAGUGGUUUUUCUUUUAUCUUCACAGGAAAACUCAUCUACAGAAGGCAAAGGAAACCGCAUGGGUAGAUACUUAAGAAGAGAAGUCCCACACAGCCAACGAAGACCUGCCUGACAGAAAUCCCUGGACACCCGUAAAGAAAAUGGGCCACACCUCCUCAACUGCAUUGGAUCCAAC
RNAcentral lists this long non-coding RNA (229 nucleotides) under Cricetulus griseus (Chinese hamster). RNAcentral describes it as "lncRNA (ENSCGRG00000025746.1)". Lineage: Eukaryota; Metazoa; Chordata; Mammalia; Rodentia; Cricetidae. The record is from RNAcentral.